This 1277-nucleotide ribosomal RNA is filed under the name metagenome. RNAcentral's name for it is "SSU rRNA". It matches the Rfam family "Eukaryotic small subunit ribosomal RNA", at positions 483 to 1792 of the family's 1831-position model. The record is from RNAcentral.
AGACCGUUCUCUUUCGAGGCCGGUCAUCGGAAUGGGUACAAUUUAAACCCUUUAACGAGUUCUAUGAGAGGGCAAGUCUGGUGCCAGCAGCCGCGGUAAUUCCAGCUCUCAAAGUGCAUAGAAUUAUUGCUGCGGUUAAAAAGCUCGUAGUUGGAUCUGUGCCAUAGGACGGGGUCCACCUUCGGGUGCGUACUCCGCUCCUAGGCUUUUUGCUGGUUUUCCCGUCGUAGCCUUCACUGGUUGCGGCGGGUGGCUGGCGAGUUUACUUUGAGAAAAUCAGAGUGCUCAAUACAGGCGUCUAGCUUGAAUGAUUGUGCAUGGAAUAAUAGAAAAGGAUUUCGGUCCUCUUUUAUUGGUUUUGUGGACUGAGAUAAUGGUUAACAGGGACAAACGGGGGCAUUCGUAUCGCUGCGUGAGAGGUGAAAUUCUUGGACCGUAGCGAGACGCCCUACUGCGAAAGCAUUUGCCAAGAAUGUCUUCAUUAAUCAAGAACGAAAGUCAGAGGUUCGAAGGCGAUCAGAUACCGCCCUAGUUCUGACCGUAAACGAUGCCAACUAGCGAUCCGCCGGUGGAUUUUUAGCCCUGGUGGGUAGCUUCCCGGAAACGAAAGUCUUCCGGUUCCGGGGGAAGUAUGGUUGCAAAGCUGAAACUUAAAGGAAUUGACGGAAGGGCACCACCAGGAGUGGAGCCUGCGGCUUAAUUUGACUCAACACGGGGAAACUCACCCGGCCCGGACACCGUAAGGAUUGACAGAUUGAUAGCUCUUUCAUGAUUCGGUGGUUGGUGGUGCAUGGCCGUUCUUAGUUCGUGGAUCGAUUUGUCUGGUUUAUUCCGAUAACGAGCGAGACUCUAGCCUACUAAAUAGUAACGAGAUUGCCAUUGUCUUAGUUGCUUCUUAGAGGGAUCUUCGGUGUUUAGCCGCACGAGAUUGAGCAAUAACAGGUCUGUGAUGCCCUUAGAUGUCCGGGGCUGCACGCGCGCUACACUGGCGAAAUCAGCGUGCUGUAUCCAUUCUCGAAAGAGAUUGGUAAACCCAUGAAAAUUUGCCGUGCUUGGGAUCGGAAAUUGCAAUUAUUUUCCGUGAACGAGGAAUUCCAAGUAAGUGCGAGUCAUCAACUCGCUCUGAUUACGUCCCUGCCCUUUGUACACACCGCCCGUCGCUGCCCGGGACUGAGCCAUUUCGAGAAGAUCAGGGACCGGUGGGCUGUGGCCUCUUCGGAGGUUCGGUCCGUUGGAAACUGAUUUGAUCGCAGUGGCUUGAACCGGGCAAAAGUCGU